AGAGAGAGAGAGAGAGAACUGAUGAAAUAAUGAGAAAACUUGCUACAGGUAUAUUUGCUUCUGUUUCUCUCUUCCUGGUUCCAUUUUAUCUUUUGUCGUUGUUGUUGAAAAAAAAUGUUUUUGUUUUUGGGUGGCGUUAUUGUCAUUCCAUGAAAACAAGUCAACAAAAAAGAUAUGAUCCUUGUCCUCGUUUUGGUUGUCGUUGUAUCCUGUCGUUGUUUGUGGAUGAAGAGAAAAAAA
Molecule: non-coding RNA, 240 nt
Filed under: Fragilariopsis kerguelensis
Lineage: Eukaryota; Bacillariophyta; Bacillariophyceae; Bacillariales; Bacillariaceae
Source: RNAcentral